AGACCCUCAUUCCUUUUCUUUUCUCUCCUUUCCAGCAAAGGACCAAAACUCCGACAGCUCCGGGAGCAACCCGGCCAUCUAGGAGCCCCCAAGCAGCUUGACUCUGGGGGAGACUCUUCUCCCGAUGGAGGAAGACAAGAGGAAGAGAGGAUCCAUCCAUGAACUGAAUUCUAUCAAGUCCUUCUCAGGGACUUCUUCAGCCUGUUUCUGAUUGCAGAGAGCUUGGCUUGGCGUGAUUUGCUUUCUGGCACAGCUGCUGCCUCAAGUCGCAUUUGCCCCUUAGCUUUUUACCCCAUAAAAGAUAUCUUAGUUGAUUAACACACUAGGGGUUUAAAUCAAUUGUUGGGAGAUCAAAUUGGUUAACGCUGCAUGAAGUUGCCUAGGAGAAAACAGCAGCUCUGAAGGAGGGAAAUGCGGCCUUUCUUUUUAGAUGUCACCUGCAGAAGUGUCCCAGGGCACCAUCUCAGAAGAGGCAGAUCUCCUGCUUACGAGAGGAAACGAGAUGGGGGGUGGAGGGAGGCCCUCCUUAAGAUGCCGCCUUCCAAUUAUACCUUUAAGUUCUUCGGGAGGGGACCCUGCACUUGAGGGGCAUUUUUUUAAUCAAAGUGUUUAAUUAACCUAUCUAAACAAAGCAACUAAAUAUUGCAUCCCUAAAAAUUCAAAAUUAUGCCUCCAGUAUUAGGCUGCAACUGAUUUUUUAAAAAUUACAGAGAUAUGCAGCAGGAAAUUGCCAAAGUGUCUGUUUCCUCAUAGAAUCAUAGAGUAGUAGAGUUGGAAGGGGCCUACAAGGCCAUCGAGUCCAACCCCCUGCUCAAUGCAGGAACCCACCCUAAAGCAUCCCUGACAGAUUCUUGACCAGCUGCCUCUUGAAGGCCUCUAGUGUGGGAGAGCCCACAGCCUCCCUAGGUCACUGGUUCCAUUGUCGUACUGCUCUAACAGUCAGGAAGUUUUUCCUGAUGUCCAUCUGGAAUCUGGCUUCCUUUAACUUGAGCCCGUUAUUCCGCGUCCUGCACUCUGGGAGGAUCGAGAAGAGAUCCUGGCCCUCCUCUGUGUGACAACCUUUGAAGUAUAAGGGCCGUCUUUGUUUCCUGAAGGCUUCCAUUGGAUGGCCUUGUUCUUCAGUCCCAUUCAUUUCAAUGGGUCCCCAACAUUGGAGUCAACCUGAAUUGUUAACUAGUUGAACUUCGUUUUUCCAAGAUCGAGAGUGUUAUUAACAGGCUUCUGAAAAAGGUGUUUGAAUUGAUUAUCUCAGGGUGCGAUCUUACGCAUGCUUAGCCGUGAGUUGGUGAGCUUUUUCUCUCUCUAAACAUGCAUAGGAUUGCACCCUAAACCUCUUUUUAGUGACAUAGAGAUCCGUUGUUAACAUAUUUUGCAUUUUGAUUGAUGCUAAUGGAUGUAAAACAUUUUAAUAACCCUGCCGAGAUGGGCCAAAUUAAAGGGAUUUAUUUUCCUCCCUCCCGUGCUGUGGCUUUUGUUCUUGGGCGUCAGAAGACUCCGGUUGUCUGCAGAGCCGGGUUUUGCCACCCUCUCGGCUGGCCACUCCAGGCCUCCGCCAACAGGGCACCACGUUUGCUAACACCAAAAAGCCAGUGUAAAGGUUUUGUGGGUGGGAAGUAGGUCGUUGCAAGAGCUAAACAGACCCGAAACACUUGUUUUUUGUUGAAAGAAUAAAAAAGGCAUCAUGAAACAGGCAAAAAGCGAAAGCGCCCAGGAGUCGGAGACCCCCAGCCUCACGGCAACUUGUGGAACUGCCCGAGGACUCCGGCCCCAGCCCAGGCUGCAACUGGCGAUGGCUCCCCCAAAUCCCUCCCAGCCCUGCUCCUGGGGACCCGUUGGACUGGAUGUGCUGGGGAGGGAAUCUGGGGUGUUCGCCAUGCAAAGCCCCUGUGGGGGCCCCUCCUCUCCUCCUCCAGGCUUCGUGGGGCUGGUAAGGAGAGCAGCAAAGUCCGCUUCCGCACUGGUGGACUCGGGUCGAAGCCUUGUGCAUGGGUGGACAGUCCUGAGUGCUGCUCCCCUCACUUUAAAUGAAUUUAUUACUGCAUUUAUAGCCCACCUUUCUUCCCCUUGCAAGGAAUGCAAGAGGGCUGGCACGGUCCUCCACUCCCUGCCCCACUUUAAUCCUCACAGCAACCCUCUGAGGUAGGUUUGGCUGGGAGUCAGUAGCGUCAGAGGCAUAAAUGAUGAGGUGAAGACAGUAGCAGGGUGAGUAAAUAUAUAUAACUAUAUCAAGGAUCUGGGGAUCACUGGUUGUGUUGUACAUUAGGUGCGUCUUUAGUUGAUUCUACACAGGGUGGAUUGCUUUAUUAUUAUAUUUAUUUGUAUCCCGCUUUUUGCCCAAUACUGGGCCUCAAGGCGGCCUUACAAAAUUUAAAGUCAAGCUCACUCGAAUCCAAGACUUAAAUCGGCCAGAAAAAAAAGGAUUGAUUUAAAUCACGUGUCCCACUGAAACUUUUUCAUGUAUUUUCUGAACAAUGGUGUAAAUCUGACCACUAAGCAGUGUUAAUUUCCGAAUAAGAGUUUUAUUUACACUUUUUCAAUCUUCCAAGGAGGCCUUUGCAUUUUUCCCUCCCACUGUAUGUAUUUUGCACGCUUCUCUUUUUCUCCUAGAGAGGGAAGGGUUUGCACCCACGACAGUUUGAGGCGAAGAGCACAAUCUUCUUCAUGUCUCCUUAGAAAUUCCUUCCAUUGAGGUCAAUGGGGCUUAUUCCCAGAUCAGUGGAUAGAGGAUCACAGCCUUAGGAUGGGAAUGCAGGCACUGGGCAAUUUUGUCUUCUCUUUUUCAUUCCAGUGUUGCUGUUUUUGGCUUCACUCUGUCUUGGCCCAAAGUAGCAAAUUCCAAAGACUUAUAGAUCCAAACAAGGUUUCAUAGUAAACUUUUAAAGAUCUAAUGUUUCGGAUUUUAGUAAGCAUUCGGGUUUUAUUGUUUAUCCACACUCCUAUAUUUUGUCUUUCUUAAUUCUUUUACCUUGCUUGGCCCAACUCUCAACGGAACAAUAUUCCUACCUAGCUUGUACCUGUGACUACAGGCAGAGGAACUGAAAGGCCAGAAGAUUCAAGAGCUAAUAGUUAGGCCAGACAGAGCUAUUUUCAUGAAAUGAAAAACCGAAAUGAAUUGCCCAUGUCUGAUUGGAAGAAAACUUGAUUUUCGUGAGGCUGUCAGGGUAGGUUUAGCAUGUUUAGGGUGGGAUUUAAUUGCAACUAUGCUAUUUUUUUAAAAAUUGCAAGAGAAAUGUAGUGUUUAUUGAUGACUUUAAAAAAAUCUGAUGUUUAUUUUUUAAACAAUACCUUUUUGAAUUAAAAUAAUUCCAUUUUCCUUUGAA
Long non-coding RNA from Elgaria multicarinata webbii, 3320 nucleotides. RefSeq lists it as uncharacterized. NCBI's taxonomy places the organism in Eukaryota, Metazoa, Chordata, Lepidosauria, Squamata, Anguidae. The transcript is spliced from 3 exons. The record is from RefSeq and is a predicted model, not a curated record.